GCGGAUGUGGCGAAAUUGGCAGACGCGCUGGACUUAGGAUCCAGUGCCGCAUGGCGUAUGGGUUCAAGUCCCUUCAUCCGCACCA
This 85-nucleotide transfer RNA is filed under the name Wylensekiella montiformis. RNAcentral's name for it is "Selenomonas montiformis tRNA-Leu". It matches the Rfam family "tRNA". Rfam says of the family: Transfer RNA (tRNA) molecules are approximately 80 nucleotides in length. The record is from RNAcentral. Lineage: Bacteria; Bacillati; Bacillota; Negativicutes; Selenomonadales; Selenomonadaceae.